CUGGUAUUUGUGUCUUUUCCUAAUGUCUGGGAGCGGAAGAUAGUGUUUUAUAGGAGUUGUGGCUUAUCAGAAGAUGAAAUAUGGUUGGCUAUCAGAAAGUUUCCCUUGUGUAUGAAUUUCUCAAUUAAGAAAAUUAGAAACACCAUGGAUUUUCUUGUGAACAAGAUGGGUUGGCUGCCUGGAGAUGUUGCCAGAGUUCCAAGUGUAUUAUGUUAUAGUUUGGAGAAGAGGAUUGUUCCAAGGUGUUCAGUUGUAAAAGUUUUGAUAUUGAAAGGUUUGAUCAAGGGAGAUAUUAAUUUAUCUACUGUGUUGACAGCCACUGAGAAGUACUUCCUGGAUUUGUUUGUGAUAAAGUAUCAGGAAGAGGUACCUCAACUCUUGAGUAUCUUCCGAGGAGAAAUAAAUAUUGUGGAAUUUGGAUUUGGAUUUGAGUAAAAACCAUCCGUAGUUUCCCCCUUACCCGAUGCUGGGUAAUUGCGGCUUAGCUUUAUUGGACUUUUAACUGCUGGCUGUAGACUGUCUCUAAUGUGGUUCUCUUGUAAGUGAUUUUACUACAUACCUUCAUUUUAUUAGAGAUAUUUGAGGUAUUGGUAGGGAAGUCAUAGGUCCGGAUAACUCAACUGCCUUGCAGCGCUCUAAAGGUUUCCAAUGCUUCAGUUCAGUGUCUUAUUUUCAUUGAAGAACUCUCUGCCAUCAAUCUGAUAAUGAUGAAUCAUUGGAAACCUUUAGAGCGCUG
RNAcentral lists this unclassified non-coding RNA (736 nucleotides) under Hevea brasiliensis (rubber tree). Lineage: Eukaryota; Viridiplantae; Streptophyta; Magnoliopsida; Malpighiales; Euphorbiaceae. The record is from RNAcentral.